Long non-coding RNA from Juglans microcarpa x Juglans regia, 946 nucleotides. RefSeq lists it as uncharacterized. The transcript has 3 exons. NCBI's taxonomy places the organism in Eukaryota, Viridiplantae, Streptophyta, Magnoliopsida, Fagales, Juglandaceae. The record is from RefSeq and is a predicted model, not a curated record.
UAGUAACUCACUAGCAUUUCGUUAUGUCUUGAGAAAAGAAAAGAAUAAAUUAAGAUAAACUUAAAAGGAAUAAAAGAAAAAUGGCAAAGAGAAUGUGAUUCUUGUUCAACCAUUUUGCCAUGGAAGUUCUUUUCUUUACAAGCACUCCUACCUUCUUUAAAAAUCUCUCUCAACGGCUCCAAAUUUACAUUCUAAAAAUGGGGACACAGAACUACAAUAAAGAUCACUAACUAUUUUUAUUGCUUAUUUACAUUCAUUAAUUCUCUCCUGACGCCGUGGGAGUUCAUAGUGACACAAGAUUUCAUUUUUAAGGUUGAGAGGGUGAAUGAAAGGCACACAUGUUUUGGCAUGGAUCAAGGAAACCGUUGGCUUCCCACCAAGGAAAUACCGAAGGAAAGCAACCGACUUUUGCAGUUUUAAGCGCCGGAAAUACCACAUCAAGAAGCAAUGAAUAUGUGCUUUACUUAUGUUGUUUCUCUUUUUGAAAUCCUUCUGACCAAUCACCAAUGUCCCAGCUUUAUCUAUCCAAUUACUUUUUCUUCAUCAACUCUAGACUAAACAUCUCUCAUUCACCCAACAAGAGGAGGAAAAAAGAAAACAUUGAAGGAGAAAGAAGAAAAGAAAAUCAGCCAUGGAACUGGAAUUGGGACUCAAGAUCGCCAAAACGAGUGAUGAUCUCACUUCCAUGGCCGAAUUUCAGUUUGCGAAAGAUCGAACGGGUCCUGUUUUCUUGUCUGGUGAAGAUGACAACAUGUUCAUCCUCACUGUCCACCUCAAAGGGGCUUGACUAUUUAUCUAGAGUGUGGCAAUUCGAAGGCCAUGGCUUUGUACCAAAUUAUUCAAUUGAACAUCUGGUGCUACGAUUGCACAAAUCCAUGGUGCUGCUCAUGGUGCCACCACUUUGAUAAUAAGAUCUAUGAUGGGGAAAUGAGGUAUUAUAGCAAAG